GGACAGAUGGGUGAGUGGCUUAAACCAGUUCUUUGCUAAAGAACCGACCCGCAAGGGUCCGAAGGUUCGAAUCCUUCUCUGUUCG
This 85-nucleotide transfer RNA is filed under the name Eubacterium sp. Its description in RNAcentral is "tRNA-Ser". It matches the Rfam family "tRNA". From Rfam's summary of the family: Transfer RNA (tRNA) molecules are approximately 80 nucleotides in length. Their secondary structure includes four short double-helical elements and three loops (D, anti-codon, and T loops). The record is from RNAcentral. Lineage: Bacteria; Bacillati; Bacillota; Clostridia; Eubacteriales; Eubacteriaceae.